This 253-nucleotide ribosomal RNA is filed under the name uncultured bacterium. RNAcentral's name for it is "partial 16S ribosomal RNA". It matches the Rfam family "Bacterial small subunit ribosomal RNA", at positions 524 to 776 of the family's 1533-position model. The record is from RNAcentral.
UAAGUAGGGGGCAAGCGUUGUCCGGAUUUACUGGGUGUAAAGGGCGCGUAGGCGGGUUUGUAAGUUAGAGGUGAAAUCCUGCAGCUUAACUGUCGAACUGCCUCUGAUACUGCAAAUCUUGAGUUCAGAAGAGAGUAGCGGAAUUCCAGGUGUAGUGGUGAAAUACGUAGAUAUCUGGAAGAACACCAGUGGCGAAGGCGGCUACUUGGUCUGCAACUGACGCUGAGGCGCGAAAGCGUGGGGAUCAAACAGG